CCCUAUUAUAUUUAUUAAAUUUAAAUGCGAAGUAGUAAUUAUUAUAAAAUGAAACUUAAAGAAUUUGGCGGUACUUAUUCAAAUUAGAGGAAUAUGUUUUUAAAAUGAUAAUCCCCAAAUAUCUUACUUUAAUUUUAUUUUUGUAUAUCUCCGUCUAAAAAAAUUUUUUUAAAAUAUAUUUUAUUAAUCUUAAAAGAUAGAAGUCAGGUCAAGGUGCAGGUUAUAUUAAAGUAAAAAUGUAUUACAAUAAAAUUAUUUAUGGAAAUGAAUUGGAAUAUUCAUCUUAAAUUGGAUUUAAAAGUAAAUUUUUUUUAAUAAAAAUUAAUUGAAUAAAGUAAAUAAUUAUGUACACAUCGCCC
Molecule: ribosomal RNA, 359 nt
Filed under: Dypsocus coleoptratus
Lineage: Eukaryota; Metazoa; Arthropoda; Insecta; Psocodea; Caeciliusidae
Description: partial 12S rRNA
Source: RNAcentral